This 253-nucleotide ribosomal RNA is filed under the name uncultured bacterium. Its description in RNAcentral is "partial 16S ribosomal RNA". It matches the Rfam family "Bacterial small subunit ribosomal RNA", at positions 524 to 776 of the family's 1533-position model. The record is from RNAcentral.
UACGUAGGGGGCUAGCGUUGUCCGGAAUCAUUGGGCGUAAAGCGCUUGUAGGCGGUUCGGUAAGUCCGCUGUGAAAGUCGGGGGCUCAACCCUCGAAAGCCGGUGGAUACUGUCGGACUAGAGUACGGAAGAGGCGAGUGGAAUUCCCGGUGUAGCGGUGAAAUGCGCAGAUAUCGGGAGGAACACCAGUAGCGAAGGCGGCUCGCUGGGCCACUCCUGACGCUGAGACGCGAAAGCUAGGGGAGCGAACAGG